Molecule: small nuclear RNA, 21 nt
Filed under: Arabidopsis thaliana (thale cress)
Lineage: Eukaryota; Viridiplantae; Streptophyta; Magnoliopsida; Brassicales; Brassicaceae
Description: snRNA_18276
Source: RNAcentral
AGAGGCUUCACAGAGAUGCUC